UUGUAAUCCCCACUGUGUGAUCUAGAGAAGAAAGUUACAUUCUUUCCAAAUUGUUUUGAUGCACUUAUGUGGGAAAAUGAUGUACGUUUGAAUAUGUAUUUCCUCUCUGAAUAACCAUGGCUACAGAUGAAUAUUUGUAGACAUGGAAUGAGUUUACUGUAUUUGAACUGUAUGGUCCCCUAAAUUCUCCCCAGCUUUUUAAAGUCAUCACUGGAGUGCUACCUCCACAGUGUCCCAAAGCAUCCACCACUGCCUGUUCUUCAGACACUGUGAGUUUCCAAGUUGGAGAAGGCUGCUGGCUGUUGAGGCAUUCUCUGGCACAUCUCUGGCUGGCUGAUGUGAGCUUAGCACACAAGACUUGGCAGACAGUAUCUAACCAUGGUCACGUCCAUUUCUGGAACACUCAUGGAGGAUUUUACACCUAUGCUAGUGGCAUACGUUAUUUCUUUUAGUUUUCAAAACAAUCAUAAUUAGAUUUUAUCACCUGUAUUAAUAAGGAAACUGUCAAAGCGAGUGAUGUGCAGACUUUGGACUGGAACACGGGUCUUUCUGAUCCCUAUCUCUGUUCCCUCCCCAGCCUAUCCUUCCAAAUGUCCAGGAGACUCUUCCUCAGUCUUGAGUUUCCCGCUGAUGUUACCACUGUCUUUGUUUCUGGAGAGGAAAACAAGUCUAAACUUACUUUCCAGUUGGAAAUGGAAUGGAGAGUUAACGUUGGAAGCCGGGAGAGUCUGUCCUGUGAUGAAGCGGUCUCUGAGCCACUUCCAUGGGGACGUCACGUCACUGUCUGGGCCCCUUGCACAGCCUGUGCACAGCAUUCCUAGGAGAGAAUUCAGCAGUGCAGCAUCCUCUCCGAGCUCUAUGAGUUGAUCGGCUUCCACCGCAAGUCCGCCUUCUUCAAGCGGGUGGCCCCCGUGCAGCGCACGGCCCCCGGCAUCCCGGAGCCUGGCGGGAAGGUCUUCUCCCGACUCCUUCUGCAGACGCUUCCUGGCUACAGUCUGUCGCGGGAUCUGCAGGACUUCAGCAAAGGUGUUGGAACUAAAACAUUGCUUCAGUCCCAUUAACCAUGCCUGGUUUGGGCCCUGCUGUCCUGUCUCAUCAGGGUGAAUUCUGAUUCGUUUAGAAUAGGGCUCAGCAGACUUUUUCUGUCAAGAGCUUGGGAGUAAAUAUUUCAGGGUCUGCAAACCUCCUGAUCUCUGGUGCAGCUGCUCAGCUCUGCUGUUCAGACGCCAGAGCAUCCGGACAUUCCACACACCCACAGAGCUUUAUUAACAGCGGUGUCUGGGGCUGGAUUCAGUGUAUGAACUGCAGUUUGUCCCCACAGCCUCCUCACUAUUGACGCCUGCACCAGAGCAUGCAUUUGCGACAAUGGGUGAACCUGCACUGACACGUCAUCAUCACCCAGAGCCCAGACUUGACACUAGGAUUUACACUUGGUGGUGUGCACUCUGUGGGUUUGGACAUAUGUGCAAUGACAUGUAUCCACCGUCACAGCAUCAUACAGAGUAGUCUGUCUUAGUGACCUUAAAAUGCUCCGUGCUGCACCUCAUUCAUUGCUCCUUCCCCUCUAGCCUCUGACAGCCACUGAUCUUUUAGUCUCUGUGGUUUUCCCUUUCCCAGAACACCAUACAGUUGGAAUCAGACAGUUGCGGAACCUUCCCAGAUUGGCUUCUUUCACUUAGUAAUAUGCAUUUAAGGUUCCUCCAUGUCUUUCCAUGCCUUGAUAACUCAUUUCAUUUUAGCACCAAAUAAUAGUCCAUUUUCUGGCUGGACCACAGUUAAUCCAUUCACCUACUGAAGAACAGCUUAGUUGCUUCUGAGUUCUGGUGAUUAUGAAUAAAGCUGCUAUUAACAUCUGUAUGCAGUUUUGUGUGUGGACAUAAGUUUCCAUUUCGUCGAGUAAACACCAAGGAGCACAGUUGCCGGAUCAUGUGUUAGGAGUACGUUUAGUUUUGUAAAAAAUUGCCAGACCGUCUUCCAAAGUAUCUGGGCCAUUUUACAUUCCCACCAGCAAUGCAUGAGAAUUCCUUAUGCUCCACAUCCUCACCAGCAUUUGGUGCUGUCAGUGUUCAGAGUUUUGGCAGUUCUGACAGGUGUGCAGUGGUACCUCGCUGUUUCAGUCUGCAUCCCCUUGAUGACAGAUGCUGUGGAGCAUCUUUCCAUAGACUUCUUUGGCAUCUAGAUUUUUUCUUUGAUGAGAUCUGUGUCAGGAAUUUUGCUCAUUUUUUAAUCAGGUUGUUCAUCCUUCUUGUUGAGUUUAAAGAGAUUUUGGUAUAUUCUGGAUAUCAGCCCUUUAUCAAUGUGUCCCUGCCCUUCACCUGCAGCACCGGAGUUGCCCUUGGGGUCUCAGUGGAGUGUCAGCUCUUCAAAGAGGUUCCCUGUCUUCCCUCAGCCUAAAUACUGUCCUUGUAUUUUUCACUUUCAUUGACUCAUUUUGUUCUUUUUAAAUAGCAUUUCCCAUAAUUUGUAAUUAUAUUAAAAAAAAGGGCAAUGAUUGAACACCACCUCCCCACCAGGCUGUGUGCCCUGUGAGAGCAGAGGCCCUGUCCCCACUCACCAUUUCCCAUGACAGCACAUGGCACAUGUCCAUGUAAAAGUGUGUAACGUGGGGCCAAACCUGAUGAGCAGCUAUGAUGACAUGUGUUGGCUACCAUUUAUUGAGUAGACUUUGUUUCUGAUGUAAAUUAUUAAAUCACAUGAAUUAAACUUGUUUGUUUUGAAAAAUAAAACAACAAAGCCCACCUCCA
Molecule: long non-coding RNA, 2744 nt
Organism: Camelus dromedarius (Arabian camel)
Lineage: Eukaryota; Metazoa; Chordata; Mammalia; Artiodactyla; Camelidae
Exons: 2
Source: RefSeq, a predicted model, not a curated record